Molecule: long non-coding RNA, 3907 nt
Filed under: Cricetulus griseus (Chinese hamster)
Lineage: Eukaryota; Metazoa; Chordata; Mammalia; Rodentia; Cricetidae
Description: lncRNA (ENSCGRG00015040132.1)
Source: RNAcentral
AUCAGAGUGACACACAUAAGCAACCCUGAGUCAUAGCUAGAGUAGGAUCACUUGGGAAGUGCAGUGUCUUAGCCCAACCAGGAAAGGCUGAGCUGGGUCCAAGGAAGGCUCAAGAUUUGCCCACAGAGAAGAGGAGUUAAAGAAGAAGGCGUGUAAUCAUGGAGCUGACUUCCCCAGGAAGGAAAAAGAAGUAGAGAUUUGUUUUAGAGAUUUCAAAAUAAAAGGCACCAAAUCAGAAGAUAUCUAUCCAAGGUCACAAUCCACCAUCGAAGGAAAUCAGGGCUGGGACCUGACAGCAAGAACCGUGGAGGAAUACUACUUUUCACCUCACUCUGGUUUGCCCACAGACUUACAGAUAGCCAACUUCCUUAUGCAGCCCAGUACUAGGUGCUCAGAGAUGGUAUCACACUGUGGACUGGGCCCUCCUAUGUCAAUUAAUAAUCAGGACAAUCCCCCACAGGCAUUUCCACAAGUCUAUCUGCUUUAGUCAAUUCCUCAAUCAAGACUUCUAGAUGACUCUCAGUUAGCUAGGAUAAUUCAAUUUAAAAGGGAGGUAUGUGGCAGGGACUCAAGUUAGGAAACCUGCCCAAUAUAGUCUUCUCAUUCUCGGUCUCCUGAAUAAACUAGUACUCUAUCCAACACCCAGAUUAAUUUAGAGCUUCAGCUAGGAUGGCUUUUAGAUUAAAGGGGAACCUUGAGUGAGAAACAUGAUUACUCUCCUCAUACCCCAGAUCCAUUCUGAAAUGAACUUUGAAAACAUUUGGAAAAUUGUCUAUUACAUCCCUUUUAUAGUCUGAAGCAAAACUUACCAGGCUUUUGUUAUUCUCAAGUCAAUUUUCAACAUUCUUACCUGUGCUUUCAACACUUCCUAAGACACGCUUACUCUACAUUGACCAUGCAUAUUUGACCUAAAGAGCAAACUGCUUUCCUUGUAUGAAGCUUCUUCUGUGGCACACUUCAUGGGACUGCUACCUGAAGAGGAGUAUUUAAGCAGGAAGAAAAAGAUUUGUGUCAGUCUAGGUGAGAAAUAGUGACAAAGUAAACCAGAAAAAUGGAAUACGACACAGAAAAGUGAAGUCACACAGGAAAUGGCUAAAAUACCAAACUGACAAGAUUUGGUAACCACUUGACUUUGAGAAAUAAUGUACUUUGCUAGAGAGGAUCUGUGUGGUGUAAAGUUUGUACACAACAAAGAAAUGAUGUGCUUCAGCUUUGUGCAUUUGUUCUAUGUGCUGGGUCACAUGUCACCAGAAACACAGCAGCUUAAAAUACCGUACCUUUCCUGUCUUGCAAUUACAUUACAUAUUAAUGUCUGGGACAGCUCAAUCAUGGUCUUUGUGGCAACACAGACUACAAACAAAGUGUCACCUGGGCUGUAACCUUAUCUGGAAGACUGGCUCAGGGAGAAGAACUUUCCCCAGUUGUGUUCAAGAAUUAAUUAAUUAAUUCUUUGUUGAAGUAUGACCAAAGGUCUUGAUUUCUCUCUCAUGGAUAACAGAAAGAAAUCCUUAAUUACUUGCCACUUAGCCCCUAGCCAUUGGAAUUCAUAUAUAAUAUGGUGUUUUUCUUUCUCAAGGACAGGAGGAGAAUCUCCAGUCAUAGUUUGCUAACACUUAAGACAGUAACUGUGUGGUUUGAAAGAAAAUGGUCCCCAAAGGGAGUGACACUAUUAGGAGGUAUGGCCUUGUUGGAGGAAGUGUGUCACUGUGGAGGCUAGCUUUAAGGUCUCUUUUGCUCAAAUUUCACUCGCUGUGGUACUCAGUCUACUUCAUGUUGCCUGAAGGCCAAGAUGUAGAACACUUGGUUACUUCUCCAGCACCAUGCCUGCCUGCAUGCUACUAUGUCAUACCAAUAAUGGUAAUGGUCUGAAUCCCUGAAAAUUUAAGCCACCCAAAUGAAAUGUUUUUCCUUUAUAAGAGUUGUUGAGGUCAUGGUUUCUCUCCAUAGCAGUAGAAAUCUUAGGUAAGACAGUGAUAGAUAGAGCUAGGAAGAUGGCUCAGUGAGUGUUUGCUGCACAAGAAUGACAAUGGAGUUCAGAUCCUAAGCACUGAUAUAAAAACCAGGUGUGGUGGCAUGUUUCUAUAGCCCCUGUACUGGGGAGGUAGAGACAAGAGGAUUAAUUGGUCAACCAGUCUAGCCAAAACAGUGAGCUCAAAUUUUGGUGGGACACCAUGGCCCCCAAAAAUAAGGUAGAAGAGAAAAAAGAAGAUACCAGAACUUGACAUCUGGCCUCCACAUGCAUACUUAAAGAGAGUACACACACAUGUAUACAGAUACAACCAUACACACACACACACACACACACACACACACACACACACUAUAAAAAUAGCGAGCUUCAUUUCCUUUGCUGAAUAUACAGCUGAUAUGAAAUUUGAAAUGCCAUCAUCUGAUGGGGAAUGUCCUUCUGUGUAUAUGUUUAUCUUAUUGGUUAAUGAAUAAAGCACUAUUUGGCCAAUUAGGCAGAAAGAUAUGUGGGACUAGAAAGAUAUGUGAGUCAAGGAGGAUUCUGGGAAAUGUAGUCUUGUGAUACAGGCAGGAAGUGACAUAGCAGGCAGACUCAUAUAUAAGCAGGGACAAACAAGAAGUGGCCCCUUCUCUCUUGCUCUUCCUCUCUGUGGAGCUGCCAUGCAACCAACCGCCAGGAAGACAGGACGAAAGGCCUGCGUCCUCCAUAAGAUAACUUCAAAGCACAAAAAUUAGCUGCCCCAGCCAACUUUCUCUUGGAUGAAGUGAUACCUCCUACUACACCACCGUAUCUGAGCCAGUUUCCGCCAAACAACCAGCAGCUAAUUUAGGUCAGCUUUCACAAAGCUGUGACCUUGGUGCAGCCUUUGGAAAAGUGAAGGGAGAUACAGGUGCAUCGGUCUACAGACCUGAGUCAGGCGAUGCUACAUUAGCAGCCCCAGCGACCGUCUUAUCUUAUGCCUCAGUGGCAAAGUAAAAUGAGCGUAAGUCAAUUAUACCCAGGUUACAUGCUCAAGUCUCCAAACAGAACAUUGGUGCUCUUCCAGAGGACUGCGUUUUGUUCCCAGGACCUACAUCAGGUGGCUCAUAAUUGCCUGUCACUCCAAUUUCUGGAGAUGUGAUGCCCUCUCUUGGGCUCUGCAAGUACUGGCAUGCAACACACACACACACACACACACACACACACACACACACACACACACACACACACCAAUACAUAAAAAACCCUCCCCUGAAGGCUCAAUGAUCUGUGCAGAAGAGAAGGUGGAAAUACCAUUGAGAGUUAGAGAGGACGGGAAACUCCAAGGAAACAGUGUCACCCAGACACAACAAGACUGAUGCACCUAUUUUGCACCAGGCUGCAAGGGCUCACGCCAGACUGAAUCCUAACACUGAAAGGGGGAAACAGACACAGGCUCCCACCCCUAACCAAGAAGCUCUCUGCAAUUAGUACCCAGUUGCAAAGGAAAAAUGAGUUUUCUUCAAUGUUCUCCUUGGAAUGUGAGCUACACUUCAGGGUAGCAGGAGAUGGCGACACAACAUGCGAUCAGUGGUAUUUUUGUGGACUUUGUGUCUCAAACCGCUUUGUUUGGAAAUCUUAUGUCUUACUGGUCUUUUGCUAGUAGGUUUUGGUUUCCAUUAUUCUUGUGUUUGUGUGUAUUCGUGUCCCUUUUUUGUUGCUGUUGUUUUUUUGUUUGUUUUGCUUGCUUUUUUUUUUUUUUUUUUUUUUUUUUUUGUCAAAAGAUAAGGAGCAUGGAGUUGGAUCCAUGGGGAUGUGGGGAGGAACUGGGAGGAGCUGGGGGAGGGGAAAGCAUGAUCACACUAUAUUGUAUGGAUUUUUUUCAAUAAAAAAUAGUGAAAGCAUAUGUUUUAAAUAUAGGAAAAUAUAUACUAGUUUCUCUCAUUUUCCUUUAAUUUGUGUUCUGGUGUUUUAAUAAAG